UACGGAGGGUGCAAGCGUUAAUCGGAAUUACUAGGCGUAAAGCGAGUGUAGGCGGGCGCUUAAGUCCGACGUUAAAUCUCCAGGCUUAACUUGGAGCUGUCGUUGGAUACUGGGCGUCUCGAGAGGGGUAGGGGCGAGUGGAAUUCCCGGUCGUAGCGGUGAAAUAGCGUAGAUAUCGGGAGGAACACCUAUGGCGAAAGCAGCUGCCUGGGCC
RNAcentral lists this ribosomal RNA (214 nucleotides) under uncultured bacterium. RNAcentral's name for it is "partial 16S ribosomal RNA". It matches the Rfam family "Bacterial small subunit ribosomal RNA", at positions 524 to 735 of the family's 1533-position model. The record is from RNAcentral.